GACGAACGCUGGCGGCGUGCUUAACACAUGCAAGUCGAACGGAAAGGCCCUGCUUUUGUGGGGUGCUCGAGUGGCGAACGGGUGAGUAACACGUGAGUAACCUGCCCUUGACUUUGGGAUAACUUCAGGAAACUGGGGCUAAUACCGGAUAGGAGCUCCUGCUGCAUGGUGGGGGUUGGAAAGUUUCGGCGGUUGGGGAUGGACUCGCGGCUUAUCAGCUUGUUGGUGGGGUAGUGGCUUACCAAGGCUUUGACGGGUAGCCGGCCUGAGAGGGUGACCGGCCAAAUUGGGGAGGGAGAACGGGCCGGGCUCCUGCGGGGGGCAGCAGGGGGGAAUGUGGCAAAAGGGGGGGAAGCCUGGAGCAGGAACCCCGGGGGGGGGGUGGCGGCCUUGGGGUUUGAAACCGGUUUCCGCCGGGGAAGAGGUGGGAGUGAGGGAAAGGGGAAAAAAAGCCCGGGCAAACUACGGG
RNAcentral lists this ribosomal RNA (469 nucleotides) under uncultured bacterium. Its description in RNAcentral is "partial 16S ribosomal RNA". It matches the Rfam family "Bacterial small subunit ribosomal RNA", at positions 28 to 507 of the family's 1533-position model. The record is from RNAcentral.